This 219-nucleotide unclassified non-coding RNA is filed under the name Glomeraceae sp. RNAcentral's name for it is "partial contains 5.8S ribosomal RNA and internal transcribed spacer 2". The stretch from base 1 to 71 matches the Rfam family "5.8S ribosomal RNA", at positions 84 to 154 of the family's 154-position model. The record is from RNAcentral. Lineage: Eukaryota; Fungi; Glomeromycota; Glomeromycetes; Glomerales; Glomeraceae.
GUGAAUCAUCGAAUUUUUGAACGCAAAUUGCACUCUCUGGUAUUCCGGAGAGUAUGCCUGUUUGAGGGUCAGUAUAAAUAAAAAUCGAGGUGUUGCUUAUGGUGACGCCAUCGGAAUUGGGUUAUCUUUAAUCUUAAUAAAGGUUUAAAGUGACCUAAAUUUAAGGAUACUUUUUGAUCUUAAUGAGUUACUUAAGAUUUUUUUUUUUUCGUUUUGGGG